This is a long non-coding RNA of Salvia splendens (bonfire salvia), 532 nucleotides long. RefSeq lists it as uncharacterized. Lineage: Eukaryota; Viridiplantae; Streptophyta; Magnoliopsida; Lamiales; Lamiaceae. The transcript is spliced from 3 exons. The record is from RefSeq and is a predicted model, not a curated record.
UAGCAAGUGCGUCAUUUACGGGAUUUCAACUCCUCAUCAAUUCAUUUCCCUCCCACUCUCCCUCCCCCCAUUACUUCCAUCCUCUCUCCUCCCUUAGUAGUAACACUGCGUAACCCUAGCCGCCGCCUCACUCGAAGCUACUUCUACCGACCCUCAUCUCGAAUCGGUGACCAUCACGACGAGGGAAUCCCGGUGUAUACCCAGCAAAUUCAUUUUCGGACGGAAUCAGUUCAAUUAACGUCUGAUUUCGACUACGGGGUGAAAGCUCUUGAAGAACUUCCUACAAAAUGGUGAACAAACGAACCAUGUCGAAGAGGCCUGCUAGUCAACCGACAAGUACAACGCGCCCAAAAAAUCUUGGUGAUGAGGACUUUGAGGAUGACAUGCAACCUUUCCCUACCCAUGAUACAUUAUACAUGCAUAAUUGUACAUGACUUCAAAAUAUCAUUCAAUGCGACAUGAUGUAGCUAUAUAUGUACAUACAUUAUUCAAUAAUUUAAUUACAUUAAUGUCUGAGAUUCAUACAUUCAAA